GCGCGCGUAGCUCAGCGGAUAGAGCGGUUCCUUCGCAGGGUCCGAGUCGCUGGUUCGAAUCCAGCCGCGCGCA
RNAcentral lists this transfer RNA (73 nucleotides) under Chloroflexota bacterium. RNAcentral's name for it is "tRNA-Ala". It matches the Rfam family "tRNA". From Rfam's summary of the family: Transfer RNA (tRNA) molecules are approximately 80 nucleotides in length. Their secondary structure includes four short double-helical elements and three loops (D, anti-codon, and T loops). The record is from RNAcentral. Lineage: Bacteria; Bacillati; Chloroflexota.